UAAACGAUCCGGAGAGUCGCUCCACGCAUUUUAUGCGUGGGGAGGAAAUUCCGAACUUCGCAGAGCACGGUGCCGUCUAGAGGGCGGGGUUCCCUGAUGAAAAUCGGGGGGCAUGGAUAGUGCCACAGAAACGAAACCUCCUCCAAGAAAUUGGGGGUAAGGGUGAAACCGUGAGGCAAGAGCUCACGUGGCGCGCGAGUAAUCGCGUGCCAGAGGAAAACCCCAUCGGAAGCAAGGUUAGCGCCCAGUACGCCUGGCUCGGGCAGGAAUCGCAAGGUUCCCUGGGGCGCGAGUGCCGCAUAGAGACAUGACUCUCGCUCCGGCUUUUAGCCGGGGAACAGAAUUCGGGGUACAGGAUUGUUGAUACA
Molecule: RNase P RNA, 368 nt
Filed under: Elusimicrobiota bacterium
Lineage: Bacteria; Pseudomonadati; Elusimicrobiota
Description: Elusimicrobia bacterium (groundwater metagenome) RNase P RNA component class A
Rfam family: Bacterial RNase P class A
About the family: Ribonuclease P (RNase P) is a ubiquitous endoribonuclease, found in archaea, bacteria and eukarya as well as chloroplasts and mitochondria.
Source: RNAcentral